GAUGAACGCUGGCGGCGUGCCUAAUACAUGCAAGUCGAGCGAACGGACGAGAAGCUUGCUUCUCUGAUGUUAGCGGCGGACGGGUGAGUAACACGUGGAUAACCUACCUAUAAGACUGGGAUAACUUCGGGAAACCGUAGCUAAUACCGGAUAAUAUUUUGAACCGCAUGGUUCAAAAGUGAAAGACGGUCUCGCUGUCACUUAUAGAUGGAUCCGCGCUGCAUUAGCUAGUUGGUAAGGUAACGGCUUACCAAGGCAACGAUGCAUAGCCGACCUGAGAGGGUGAUCGGCCACACUGGAACUGAGACACGGUCCAGACUCCUACGGGAGGCAGCAGUAGGGAAUCUUCCGCACUGGGCGAAAGCCUGACGGAGCAACGCCGCGUGAGUGAUGAAGGUCUUCGGAUCGUAAAACUCUGUUAUUAGGGAAGAACAUAUGUGUAAGUAACUGUGCACAUCUUGACGGUGCCUAAUCAGAAAGCCACGGCUAACUACGUG
RNAcentral lists this ribosomal RNA (497 nucleotides) under uncultured bacterium. RNAcentral's name for it is "partial 16S ribosomal RNA". It matches the Rfam family "Bacterial small subunit ribosomal RNA", at positions 28 to 507 of the family's 1533-position model. The record is from RNAcentral.